CUCCGACGCAAGCAGAUUUUUGCACCAACAGGAUUAACACUAGAGGAAGGAUGUGUCUUCGCAGUACCCUUGUUCUUAAAGAAGCGCUCAACGGGACCGCCUCCGAUCAUCUUUUCCGACGUCCUCUCCUCCUUCUCCCACUAGAUCUUCGCCCGAUGCCUUCCCACGAAGCAUCCACAUGGCAACCCACGACCUCUGCGGCCAGAUCUCAGGCUCCGGCCUCGCCUCCAGUUUCUCAAGCCCCACAUCCUCCGACAACGGCCGCCAGUAUGGAGCGGUCGGACAAUCAUCCUCCGAUGGAUUUCGCCAACGCCA
RNAcentral lists this long non-coding RNA (315 nucleotides) under Elaeis guineensis (African oil palm). RNAcentral describes it as "long non-coding RNA (EGUI_LNC078089)". Lineage: Eukaryota; Viridiplantae; Streptophyta; Magnoliopsida; Arecales; Arecaceae. The record is from RNAcentral.